This 533-nucleotide ribosomal RNA is filed under the name uncultured bacterium. Its description in RNAcentral is "bacterial SSU rRNA". It matches the Rfam family "Bacterial small subunit ribosomal RNA", at positions 578 to 1116 of the family's 1533-position model. The record is from RNAcentral.
GUGCUCUAAGUCGGUGUGAAUCUCCCGCUCACUGGAGGAGUGCGCCGAAACUGAAUGCUUGAGCGUGGGAGAGGAAAGCGGAAUUCCUGGUGUAGCGUGAAAUGCGUAGAUAUCAGGAGGAACACCUGCGGUGUAGACGCUUUCUGGACCAUUGCUGACGCUGAGACACGAAAGCGUGGGUAGCAAACAGGAUUAGAUACCCUGGUAGUCCACGCCCUAAACGAUGCAUACUUGGUGUCGGCCAUUCAGUUGGUCGGUGCCGGAGCUAACGCGUUAAGUAUGCCGCCUGGGGAGUACGUUCGCAAGGAUGAAACUCAAAGGAAUUGACGGGGGCCCGCACAAGCGGUGGAGCAUGUGGUUUAAUUCGACGCAACGCGAAGAACCUUACCUGGGCUCGAACGGCUUCAGAUCGCCGGUGGAAACACUGGCUUUCCCGCAAGGGACUGGAGUCGAGGUGCUGCAUGGCUGUCGUCAGCUCGUGUCGUGAGAUGUUGGGUUAAGUCCCGCAACGAGCGCAACCCUUGUCCUGUGUU